GAUGAAGAACGUAGCGAAAUGCGAUGCUUGGUGUGAAUUGCAGAAUCCCGUGAACCAUCGAGUCUUUGAACGCAAGUUGCGCCCGAAGCCACUAGGCCGAGGGCACGCCUGCCUGGGCGUCACACGCCGUUGCCCCCCCAUCUACUCCUUCGGGAUUGCGGGGGGGCGGAUGAUGGCCUCCUGUGCGCCUAGCCGCGCGGUUGGCAUAAAUACCAAGUCCUCGGCGACGCACGCCACGACAAUCGGUGGUUGCGAAACCUCGGUUGCCCGUCGUGUGCGUUCGUCGCGCAUCGAGGGCUCGAAAAAAUGCUCGGCUCCGGCUGGGCUUUCAACGCGACCCCAGGUCAGGCGGGGUUACCCGCUGAAUUUAAGCAUAUCAAUAAGCGGAGGA
This 391-nucleotide unclassified non-coding RNA is filed under the name soil metagenome. RNAcentral describes it as "partial contains 5.8S ribosomal RNA, internal transcribed spacer 2, and large subunit ribosomal RNA". The stretch from base 1 to 122 matches the Rfam family "5.8S ribosomal RNA", at positions 35 to 154 of the family's 154-position model. The record is from RNAcentral.